GCCCUCGUAGCCCAGCGGGAGAGGCACGACGUUGAGGACGUCGCCAGCGCGAGUUCGAAUCUCGCCGAGGGUAC
Molecule: transfer RNA, 74 nt
Filed under: Phytohabitans aurantiacus
Lineage: Bacteria; Bacillati; Actinomycetota; Actinomycetes; Micromonosporales; Micromonosporaceae
Description: Micromonospora sp. RD004123 tRNA-Leu
Rfam family: tRNA
About the family: Transfer RNA (tRNA) molecules are approximately 80 nucleotides in length.
Source: RNAcentral